AAUUCAGCAAUCAACUGCAGGAUUGUGCUCCUCUUGAGAGCUGCCCUGUGCACUCUGGUCAUUGAGCUAAUGAUGUCUGCAGAGAUAAGAAAGUCUUCCCAAGAUGCUGUGUGCCUGUGAAUAUAGUUGGAAUUGUCAAAUGAAGGAUUUGCUUCUUUGUUCCCGAGAAUCCACUUACAGAGGGAAACUGUGUCUGCCCCUUCUGGUCCCUCCAUUAUAAAACUGAGAUGUUCCUGACACGGGGUGUUUCAUUCUGGAGAAAGCCGACUGCUGAAUGAAGCUCCUGUCCAAAUACUGACUGCUCAAGAGGGCAUUAAACCACCCAAACUUUGUUUUGAUUUGCUACUCUUUACUUUCUUGUACCGUAUUGUGCCAUCAAGGGGAAAAUUGUAUAUAUUAAAA
This is a long non-coding RNA of Polypterus senegalus (gray bichir), 402 nucleotides long. RefSeq lists it as uncharacterized. NCBI's taxonomy places the organism in Eukaryota, Metazoa, Chordata, Cladistia, Polypteriformes, Polypteridae. The record is from RefSeq and is a predicted model, not a curated record. The transcript has 3 exons.